This 9195-nucleotide long non-coding RNA is filed under the name Nicotiana tabacum (common tobacco). Its description in RNAcentral is "long non-coding RNA (NTAB_LNC004180)". Lineage: Eukaryota; Viridiplantae; Streptophyta; Magnoliopsida; Solanales; Solanaceae. The record is from RNAcentral.
AAUAUUAAAACAAUACAACAAUUCCCCAGAAACUGGUAACACCGAUUCAUGAGCUCUAACGUAUGAAUACAAGUCUGACAAUAAAAUACAUUAUCUAAAUCAAUAACAAUAGUAAAAUGAUAGAAGGAGAUGCCAGGGACUGCGAUUAGGGUGCAGCUCUACCUCGGGACUCCACUGCAACAACCAUGAAUCCCAAUGCUCAGUUGGGUCCAACUCCCGUAUCUAAAAAUUAAGUGCAGAGUGUAGUUUGAGUAAAACCGACACCAUAUACUCAGUAAGUAUCAUGACUAACCUCGGUGAGAAAGUGGAGAGAAUGGAUACUCACUAAUCAAAACUAUACAGUUCAUUAAUAUAUAUGUACACAACAACAGUACCUGAAUUUAAGCAUGCUAAUCAGCUAAUAGUUCAUCAUAUAGAGAUGAUAUACAAGAAUAAAAAAUCAAGUUGCACAAAGUCGACAUAUAAGGAAUAUAUGUAACGUGAAUCAUUAAUCAGCUAAUUAGCAUACAAAGAAAAUAUUUAUAAAAGGCAUGUAUACAUUUUUAGGCUAGCAUAUAGAGAAGCUAUGCAGUAAAAACAUGUAUACAUCCAAGGAGCUUGCAUAGAUAGAAGAUACACAAAGUCCAAACACUGAUAAGAUUUCAUAAUUCGUGUGUACGACAUCAAAGAGAAAUAUGACAUGAUGACCCUAGGGGGGUGGAUCCUUAUCCACACGUUGCACGGACAACUCACAUGCUCCCAAACUAUUCUAUAUCACAUAAAGCAUAUGCAAGAAUACAUGUAUACGAAUAACAGUUAUCAAAUCACAUACUCAUGCACUGAGGAAAAUAGCAUGCAAAGGUGUAUGGAUGUGCGAAGUGUACAAAUACAACUCAGAUUAGGCAUGUAUGCCAUACAGUAACAAGUAUCAUGCUCUAAUAGAAUGUCACGCCUAUACAAGGUCUCUAACAUGAUUCAAGGAGCUCAAGGAAUCAUACCAGUGUUCAAAAUAGAAAUCAUAAGAAGUGCAUAGUCGGAAUAAGACAUAUUAGAAGUUUACAGUCCAAUCAUGUCAAAAUCAUACAUAACACCCGCAUAUACACUCGUCACCUCGCUUAUACUCGCUCUUCACAAAUUUUAAUUAGCCAAGUCACACCCAAGGGGUAUACCCUCAUAAUAGAUUAGGCAAGAUACUUUUAAAAAACAAGAUCAAUAUAGCUAGAACAUGUUCCCCUUAGAAAUCAUCUCCAACCGGCUCGAAUCUAACCAAAAAUAACUCAAUAACGUCAAACAAAGCCAUAGAAAUCAAUUCCUAACAAUAAAGCUUCAAUCUUUAUUUGUUUUUCAAAAAGUCAACCAAAGUUAGCCCGAGCUCACAUGGUCAAACUUUGAAUCAAGAAGUAGAUCAUCUUAGAUUCCAAAACGAAAUCAAAAUCAACCUUCCAAUCCCCAAAAUUCAUCCUCUUAAGUUGUAGGAAAACUCCCCAAUUUUUCCUCCGAAAUCUCAUUAUUAAUAUUUAUAAAUCCAUGGAAAUUCAAAAUAUAUAGACAAAUCCAAGUGAGGAUUACUUACCAACAAAGUUGUGAUCCCAAAAACCUGUCACGGCCCAAAAUCCACCUAGUUGUGAUUGCACCUAACCCAACCUACUAGAUAAGCCAAACAACAGUCAACAUAACUCAAAUGGGAAUAAUACGAGUCAAUAAGUGAAAUAAUUGAAUUUUCAUUCAAUAACCCAAGGAUUAGUAGUACAAGUCAUGAGCCACUAAAACAUAGAUUUACAAAUACUGGUAUGAAAAUCUUGUUGGAAUAUACAUAAGCAGAUUACAAAUCUAAAACUACCAAGGACAAGUGGUAGCUAUGUCCGGAAAGCAAGUUCAUCUUCAAUGCCAACUCCCGUCGUACACAACAGCUUCAGCUCCAAAAUAUGCACUCAAGGUGCAAAAAUGUAGUAUAAGUAUGAACGACACCAUGUACUUAAUAACUAACAAACCUAACCCCGGGCUGAAAGCAAUGAUGAGCUCGGAAGAAGCUCAGUGUCUAACACCAAUAAUUAGUAGCGACACACAAUACAACAAUGACAGAAGAGGAAACAACUAGAGAGAUAUAAUGUUCAACUCGUUCAAAAAUACAGAAAAUUAGACAUGCCUUUCGAGUAUAAUAGUCAAAGACUUAAUCUUAUCACCGAAAUCACUAAACCAUGAAUUUAUAAUAAAGCUGUGAUUUCUAACUUUCAACAAUAGGUAAGGCAUUUCAAUUACCAUCUAGCACAAGGAAAAUGCAUCUUUAUGCCUACAUGUCAAAUAUACAUGUCAAGUCAAUACAUCAUUUUACCAUGUAGCAUGAGGAAAAUACAUCUCUAUCCCUACAUGUCAAAUCAAUAACAUCAUUUUACCAUCUAGCAUGAGGAAAAUACAUCUCUAUGUUUACAUGUCAAAUAAAUACCAUCAUAGAGAAUCCAUCAACUAUACUCACACUCAGCACGCUCAUGGUGCCUGGCAUAAAUGCCCCUCAUCAACACACACACAACCAUACUCAGCACUAUACGGGUGCCUCGCACAAAUGCCCCUCACCAAAGAACAUAUGUAUCUCUUUGCCUACGCUUAAUGUGAAUACCAGACUUUAGAGGGCCGGAUCUUUGCCCAAGCUCUAAUUAAUAAUCAAUAUCACAUAGCCUAACAUAGUGUCCGGUGCACGCAUCACCUCUAAACAAUGCCACUCAGUGCAAUGUGAGGCUAGGAGAAGUUGGUUUCAUCUGGGCCCGACCUUACUUGGUAUAAAUACAUAGAAAAACGUUAUUUUCUGGACUUUUGACACAUAUUCGACCUAAGGGAGGAUAAGGAGGAGUUGGAAGAACACGAGCACAAGGAUUUCAUCAUUCCUUCCUCUCUCAAGACCCGAGUUUGGAUUGAAUUUAUGUUUUCCUAUACUUUAACUUUAUUUGUGAUGAAUUUCUCCAUAUCUAUGGAGUAUUUCUCUUUAGGGUUUAAUGGAUUUGUUGUGUUGAUGAUUACUUGUAGAUUAUAACUCUAGUUUUAUGUAUUGAAGCUAUCUUUGGAUGAUUUAACUGUUGCAUCUAUAUUCACUUGUUCAUGUAAUCGAGAGAGGCAUAACGUGUGAUAUCUUUGCAUUAUAUUGUUGGUUGAGUUCAUUAAUUCUUCUUAGUAAUCGAAAGAGGUUAGUUGAAUAAUUGAUUAAACCUAGUUAGGAGAAUAAUCGAAAGAGAUUUUCCUAAAGACAAAUCCACUAUGCAUUCUAGCAUAUCUUCAUGUACUUAAAUUGGUUUAUCUUGUGAGGUUAAGACUGAAUUAAGAGAGGAGUUUUUGCUGAAUAUUUGAAUUAAUAAUUGAGUGCAUUCGAUAGAAUCACUUAAAAAUUAGAAGUGAAGUAUCUAGAGUUAUAUCCCAAACAAUUAUCUUGCACCUAUCCUAUCAACCCCUAUUUUUUCCCCACUGAUAAUCCUCUUUGUUUUGAUUGUCAUUAGUCAAUAGUUUUAGACUCUUAGUUAAUUUUAGUUAGAAAUCAUAGAAAUCUCAAUUGUUAAUCAUCUUGAAUAGCAAUCAAGCUAGAAACCACAAGAAUAUUGUUUAAAUCCAAUUCCUAUGGAUACGAUAUUAUACUAUACUAUAUCUAAUGUGUGGACUAAUAUACAUAUGAGCCUAAUGUCAACUAAUCUAUUUGUCCAAAAAUAACCUGACUUUUAUAGUAAAUGACUGUUAUAUACAGAUACUAUUAUAGAGAGGUCCAAUAGUAUAUAUGAAAGUACCUAAGAAGUGAAGGGAUGGGCAGUUGAUAGGAGCAAACUUUAAGUGUGUGUUUUGCGCUCGUCAAAUUUUGGCGGCAUUGAGGGGGAUUGGCAAUCAAUAGUUUUUAGUGCUAAUUCAGGAAUUAGGUUUUAGUUUUUAUUCUUUUCUUUUCUUUUUCCUUUUCUAUUUUAUUUUCAUUAUUAGUUAACUUCUUUUCAAGAUUUGUUUUGUAGUACCUAACAAGUUGGAGAAGAGAUUAUAGAUUUUAAACUCUAAAUGUUGUGAAGAUGGAGUACAACCAGCCUAAGAAAAUGGUUGAAGAGUUAGGAGUUGAAUAUUAUCAGCGAUCUGCUAUGUGUUUUAAAUGCGGUGGAAAUCACAUAUGGGUUGACUGUCGAGCAAGUAUGUAUUCUUCCUAUGGUUCGUAUUUUGAGUAGUCUCACUCUGUUUCUAGUUCAUAUAGGUAUGAGGAUUCAUAUGGGCACAAUUUUGACUCUGGUUGGGAUGAAUACCCUUAUUAUGACUGGAAUGAAAGCAAAGUGAGACAACCACCUCAAGAGGAGAAUGGUUGUUUAGAAGCUUUUAUGCAUAGGUUCAUGAAUAGUGUUGAAGAAAGGUUUAUGCAAAAUGAUGAAGCUAUUAAGAACACAACAACGCGAGUGAGUCAAUUAAUAAGUAUACUUUUAAUAAGUAUACUUUCAGAAAUCUCAUUGUGUUGUGAUGGUGAAUAUAUGGAGGAGAUACUAUGUAAGAACGAGCCAACUCAAGAGGAUGAGCAUCCACAGAGAGAGCUUUUCACAAUUCAAGAGGACUCUGAUUCAACUAAGAUGAUUGAAAAUAAGGCUGUGGUUGAGUGUGAAGCAACGGAAAAAGAGUUCAAACCCCCAUCCACCUUUCCACAUUUUCAACCUUUAGUAGAAGAGAAUGAGAAACAAAUGAAAUAUGUAUGGAUUGAUCCUGUGAAAUAAUGCAGAAACAAGUUAAGGAUCAUCAUGAACGAGCAAUUCACUACUCAAGAUGAGGACAAGAAAGUAAGAAAAGAGCGGGUCUUGCAGGUAUCCUUAGAAAAAUUGGGGUUAAUGAGCUCCACAAAAAAUCUCAAGGAGCGAAAAUAUGGAAUGAAUUCAGAAUUAGGGAUGGAGUUCAUAAGUUCUCGGAAAAGAAGAAAAUUCAGGGAAGUUUCCUUUACCUCUUGCUUUUUAAUUAUGUGUCAUGGGGACACAUCACAACUUAAAGUGUGGGGUGGGGGAUAUUUGUAUAUUUGUAUGUAUGAAUGUAUGUAUAUUAGUUUUCGUUUUUGUUAGUUGUAGUAGUUGGAGGUAGAAAAUAAUUGAAAAAACAUAAAAAUUGAAAAGAAUUUAAAAUUUUCGAUUUUUCCCUGCGAUGGAUAUCAUUCGACAAGUUUCGUGAGGGAUUAAAGUCGAAAGAAAAAAAAAGAUUUUCUUUUGUUAGGUAGUGUAACAAGUCCCCCUUGGGUUUUCUUUGUGCCGCGGUUCUUUUCCAAGGGUUUUGUUUGAACCGGGUGUAGUUAGUUUUAAUAUUUGUUAGGAGAAGGAAACCUUGUGCUAUGGUUUAGAUUAAAGGCAAUAUUUUCUGACUCUAUUAUACCUUGAGAAUAGUGUGACUACUUUAAUGUGAUGAUUAGGCUCAGUUUUAGACUCUUGUAUAAGUACCUUAAAUUGUUUGAUCUUAACUUUGCUUAACUGCUUUGACUAUAGUAUCUUGAUGAGUCUGAUUUUGAGUGAGUUAUGUGCCAUGUGUGUAUAAGGUUUUGUGUUAUUCUGUGCAUUACAUUUGAUGUCUAGAACUUUCCCCGUGUGUUUGCAAAGGGAAAUAGUAGUUGUAUUCAGUCUUGGAAGGGAUAUCGGCGUUUCUUUGUUGAGCCAGAUGUAUGUUUUUGCCUACCUAAUUAUUAUGUAUCGUAGUUAAGCCCUUUGAGCCUAUACUCUUAUUUCUUUGGCAACCACAUUACAAGCCCUAACUAUUUGUUUGAAUUGACCAUCUAUUUGAACCUUGUACCUCUCGUGAGCACUUGAAUUUAGUAUGAACUUUAUAAAAGUUGAAGUGCGGGGUGGUUGGUUUGGCUUUUGAGUGGAACUAAUGAAAUAAGGAGAAAGGUGCAUUGUAUUAAAAACGUAAGAUCCACUUGAAUUGAAAAAGAAAAUGAAAAAAAAAAAGUUGUAUUGUUGCGCAAAAUAUUCCUUGAUAGUGGUGACUCUUGAUGUAUUUGUGCUUAAAGAAGUAGGAAGUUAAUGUAUAUUGAUGUGAAGGUGGAGUUUUGGUUUGACAUAAGUGUGGAGUUUUGAACAAUGAAAUGUAUCUAUUAAAGUCCUUAGGGAGGUGUAUUCACUCUUAUAUCUAAAUGUAUUCUUCCCGUCCUGCAGCCUACAUUACAACCAAGUAAAGUCCUACUUGAUCCUUGACUGAAUGAGCUCAAUUAGUAGAGUAGUACACUAAGGGUAAGCUUAUGGUAUGUCUUUUAUAGCAAAUGAAUGCUGUUUCUGAGAGUGUGUGAAUUAUUUCUAUCUUGAGUUCCUAAUUGUUCUUAAAUUCUAUUACGUGUGGAACUGCUCUCUAUUGUUCUGUGAGGCAUUUAAUUCAUGAAAGAAAUGUAAUGCCAUUGAUCUCUGUGUUAGAGUAAGUGAGCGGGAUGCGAAAACUGUGUGGUGCUUUUGAGUCAAAUCUUGAGGAAAGGAUGUUACGUUAGAGUGCUUAAUCUGUUUUAAUUAUUCUUGGUGUGAUGAGUUAUGAGAGUUCUUUAAAAAGGUCAUGUCUAUGUGAAGUGUAGUUUGAUUGCUCGAGGACGAGCAAUGAUUUAAGUGCACAUCUACGAUUAACACUCCGAAGAUGCUGAAGCACCAGAACAAAAACAUUCUUCAGCAAAGCAACAUAGUCCAAAAUUAAUCUAAAAUAUACCUGAGGCCCCCAGAACCUGGUCCAAACAUACCAAUCAACCCCAAAUCACACUGAACAACAUCAAAACCAUGAAUCGUUGAUCAAGAUCAAUUUCUUAAGUUCAAAAACUUCUAGCUUCAAACCAAAUAUCUUAUUCAAGCCUAACCAAUACGAAAUCAAACCAAACUUUGUAUACAAGUCCCGAAUAAAAUAAUAAACAUAUUCAAUCUUUCGGAACAACAAUCCGAACUCAAUAACAUCGAGGACUAUCCCGGUCAAACCUAUUAACAUUCCAAACCUUCAAAUUUCCAACUUUCACCAAUUAAAGCUAAAAUAUUCUAGAAACAUCCAAAUGCGAAUCCGAGCAUACGACCAAUAACAACAUCACCAUCCGGACCUAACAGAACCAUAAAAACUCCGAUCCGAGAUCAAAUAUACAAAAGUUAAACAUGAUUAACUCUUUCAACUUAAAGCUUCCAAAUUUGGAACCAUUCUUCAAAAUCAAUCCUGAACCACUUAAAACCCAAACUCACCAUACACGCAAGUCACAAUACUUCAUAUGAAACUGCUCAAGACCUUAAACAACUAAAUAAAAUGCAAAUGCUCAAAAUGAUCGGUCGAGUCGAUACAAAAUCACUUCUGGCCAAGAUCCAAAACUCCAUACAAUAAACAAUAAGCUAACCCUUGAAAUAUAACCUUUUCUGCAAUUGAUUCCGCAUAUACAGACAAACAACGUUGCACCUGCAACCUCGCAUCUGCGAGACCUUCCUCGCAUAUAGAGCCAACACACCGUAGGAACCUCCAAAUUCAAAUUCAGGCAUACGCCUAUGUCCAAAAUCACCAUACAAACCUAUUGGAAGCAUCAAACCACCAAUAUGAGGUCGUCUUCUCAAAAUUCAAACCUUCAACUCUUAACAACUUAAGCUUCCAAAAUAAGACCAAGUGUUCCAAUCAUUUUCAAACCUUCCCAAAGCUAAGCUAACCAACCCUGAAAGCCACAAUUCUAGAUAUUCUAAAACCUCAGUCCAGAUUCUACCGGUAGAGAAAUCAUAGGUCCAAGAAUUGUAGUCUAUAUAGGAAACUCAGGUUCUAUUAGUAGUAUUUAUCUAGCAUGUUUGUUGAUCGGGAGCCUACUUCCAAUAGCCUUAGCAAUAGUGUCCCUAUGUUGAAUAUUUGCUUGAGUAGCCUCCUGCUUAUAUGUGUGAUCGAAAAAAUAUCCAUAAUAAGACUAUACUAAGACACUGCCCUUGACUCACAGAAAUUUAAACCUAGAGAUCUAAUACCAAGUUUGUCAUGAUCUAAACUUAAUAUAGAUCAAGAUUGUAGAUUAAAACAAUACAUGAGAGUCAUUCAAGCAAGAAAACAUAAUGAUAAGUAAAUUAAACAGGAUGGUAUGAAAGGUUUAGGAACAUCAUUCAACCAUCUUAAUCCACAUGAUAAUAUGAGCAUAAGUUUCACUCAAUCAACAGAGCAAUAGUAUAGGCAAAACAAGCUUCCAACACAGUGAUUAGUGUACAGAGUUAAAAUGAUGAGGAUCACAAUAAUAUCAAUUCAAUUAGUUAAGAAAUAUACCUAAUGACAAUAUCAAUAUGAGAAAACAGAGUCCAAUCAUAAAAUGUUGACUGAAACAACAACAUAGGACAUAAUCAUAGUUGUUGGCAGGAGGUAUCAAUUAAUUAAAUGAAGAGUAACACAAGCAGCAAAAUUCAGUUGAGUAUCGCAUACUUGACUAACGAGUGUCAUGAAGAAGAAUAGGCCAUGAUUAACAGAAAAUACAUCAAAUGAAUAGAACUACAUGAUAAUUACACGAGAUAACUAAAUAACAAAAGGGGUCAGUGGUUUACUGACCUUCGUGGAGAAUUAAAGCAAGUAGAGGUAAUUACUAGCCAUUUAGAGACCCAAUCUUACAAUUAUCUUGUUGUAGUUAAAACUCGAGGAGAGGUGAAAGAAAAGAAAAACAUUAGAGAAGAUAUUCAGAGUAUUUAAGCAGAUAGUAUUUACUUAGGGUUUUAGGUAGGUCAUGUGUUGCUAAGAGCAUUAAAGUCAUUUAUUUAUAGUGACCAUUGGAGCCUUAGGUUUCGUUUGAGUUUGAAUGAUUUAGUGGAAGAUGAUGAUGACACUGAUGAGAGCAAGAGAAGAAAAGAUGAGGAAAAUAGAGGGGGAAAUUAGAAGGAGAGUUUUACCUUCUCGAAAUAAAGGAGGAAUAGAUCUUUGAGGCCAAACAGACUGCUUGUUAAAACCAAUGUACGGAGGUCGCUCUGUUUGACCUCUGGACCAAGAAGUUUCAUAGUGAUGUCUGAGAUCUCAUAUAUCUAUAGUUUGCAUGCAAUGAUUUCAAUGAGCAAAUGGUGAAAUGAUGAGAUUCUAAUACUUUCAUGUUUAGGUCUAGAGUUUGGGGGUUUGAGAUUCAAAUUAGGUGAUGGGAAAAGGUAAGCUCAGUGAUAUUCGCGGUUGACAGAUGAGGAAUGAUGAAGUAUUGGUCAACUUGAGUGACCUUGCACGGAUUAGUGCAAGAUUUCUGAGACUGAUGAUGUAUGUGGAGAAGAGAUAAAAGAGAGAGAAAAAGGAAAGAAGGGC